AGAAACCAUUCCACUGUGAUAUCUGUGGUAAAUCAUUCUCUCAGUCAGGUCACCUGGUUACUCACAAACAGAUUCAUACAGGUAGUCCGCGUGUUCACUGUGACAUUUGUGGUAAAUCAUUGUCUCGAAAGAGUCAGUUAACCAGACACGGUUGUAAACGUUGACGAAAAAAGUUAACC
Molecule: long non-coding RNA, 179 nt
Organism: Octopus sinensis (East Asian common octopus)
Lineage: Eukaryota; Metazoa; Mollusca; Cephalopoda; Octopoda; Octopodidae
Exons: 2
Source: RefSeq, a predicted model, not a curated record